This 461-nucleotide ribosomal RNA is filed under the name Arthrobacter sp. RNAcentral describes it as "bacterial SSU rRNA". It matches the Rfam family "Bacterial small subunit ribosomal RNA", at positions 44 to 510 of the family's 1533-position model. The record is from RNAcentral. Lineage: Bacteria; Bacillati; Actinomycetota; Actinomycetes; Micrococcales; Micrococcaceae.
GUGCUUACACAUGCAGUCGAACGAUGAAGCCAGCUUGCUGGUGGAUUAGUGGCGAACGGGUGAGUAACACGUGAGUAACCUGCCCUUGACUCUGGGAUAAGCCUGGGAAACCGGGUCUAAUACUGGAUACGACCUUCCCACGCAUGUGGUGUUGGUGGAAAGCUUUUGUGGUUUUGGAUGGACUCGCGGCCUAUCAGCUUGUUGGUGGGGUAAUGGCCUACCAAGGCGACGACGGGUAGCCGGCCUGAGAGGGUGACCGGCCACACUGGGACUGAGACACGGCCCAGACUCCUACGGGAGGCAGCAGUGGGGAAUAUUGCACAAUGGGCGCAAGCCUGAUGCAGCGACGCCGCGUGAGGGAUGAAGGCCUUCGGGUUGUAAACCUCUUUCAGUAGGGAAGAAGCUGGCCCUUUGGGUUGGUGACGGUACCUGCAGAAGAAGCGCCGGCUAACUACGUGCCA